This 245-nucleotide ribosomal RNA is filed under the name uncultured bacterium. RNAcentral describes it as "partial 16S ribosomal RNA". It matches the Rfam family "Bacterial small subunit ribosomal RNA", at positions 528 to 772 of the family's 1533-position model. The record is from RNAcentral.
UAGGGGGCAAGCGUUAUCCGGAUUUACUGGGUGUAAAGGGAGCGUAAGCGGCGUGUCAAGUCAGAAGUGAAAGCCCGCAGCUCAACUGCGGGACUGCUUUUGAAACUGACAGGCUAGAGUGUCGGAGAGGUAAGUGGAAUUCCUAGUGUAGCGGUGAAAUGCGUAGAUAUUAGGAGGAACACCAGUGGCGAAGGCGGCUUACUGGACGAUGACUGACGCUGAGGCUCGAAAGCGUGGGGAGCAAA